Long non-coding RNA from Ochotona curzoniae (black-lipped pika), 310 nucleotides. RefSeq lists it as uncharacterized. The transcript is spliced from 3 exons. NCBI's taxonomy places the organism in Eukaryota, Metazoa, Chordata, Mammalia, Lagomorpha, Ochotonidae. The record is from RefSeq and is a predicted model, not a curated record.
AGUCCAGCCUCCUAGCCUAUAAAAGGGCUGCAAGAACAGCGUUUUCUGCAGGAAUCUCUGGCCCUCCAGGGUGUGAGAGGUUGGGCUUUCAAUGAAACCAACUGAUCAACCUAAAAAAAAAGACGAGCCCCUCAAAUCACUGAUCCUGCCGUGACAACCUCCCAAAGAGGAUGUCACACAUACCUGAACCAGAGGAAAGGAGUGAUGAUGAGAUCACAGAAGAUGAAGACGAUCAUAGCAGGUUCUCGGGCAAGGUUUGUUCACUGUCUGCCUGGAUUGGGCCAGGAGAAGGAGCUGGUUUCUACAUUCC